RNAcentral lists this ribosomal RNA (513 nucleotides) under uncultured bacterium. RNAcentral's name for it is "partial 16S ribosomal RNA". It matches the Rfam family "Bacterial small subunit ribosomal RNA", at positions 28 to 507 of the family's 1533-position model. The record is from RNAcentral.
GACGAACGCUGGCGGCGUGCUUAACACAUGCAAGUCGAACGAAAAGAGGGAAAGAGCUUGCUCUUUCCGGAAUUGAGUGGCAAACGGGUGAGUAACACGUAAACAACCUGCCUUCAGGAUGGGGACAACAGACGGAAACGACUGCUAAUACCGAAUAAGUUCCAAGAGCCGCAUGGCCCAUGGAAGAAAAGGUGGCCUCUACCUGUAAGCUAUCGCCUGAAGAGGGGUUUGCGUCUGAUUAGCUGGUUGGAGGGGUAACGGCCCACCAAGGCGACGAUCAGGAGCCGGUCGGAGAGGAUGAACGGACACACUGGAACGGAGACACGGUCCAGACUCCUACGGGAGGCAGCAGUGGGGAAUCUUCCGCAAUGGGAGAAAGCCUGACGGAGCAACGCCGCGUGAGUGAUGACGGCCUUCGGGUUGUAAAACUCUGUGAUCCGGGACGAAAAGGCAGAGUGCGAAGAACAAACUGCAUUGACGGUACCGGAAAAGCAAGCCACGGCUAACUACGUG